RNAcentral lists this transfer RNA (87 nucleotides) under Bacteroidales bacterium. RNAcentral's name for it is "tRNA-Ser". It matches the Rfam family "tRNA". Rfam says of the family: Transfer RNA (tRNA) molecules are approximately 80 nucleotides in length. Their secondary structure includes four short double-helical elements and three loops (D, anti-codon, and T loops). Further hydrogen bonds mediate the characteristic L-shaped molecular structure. tRNAs have two regions of fundamental functional importance: the anti-codon, which is responsible for specific mRNA codon recognition, and the 3' end, to which the tRNAs corresponding amino acid is attached (by aminoacyl-tRNA synthetases). tRNAs cope with the degeneracy of the genetic code in two manners: having more than one tRNA (with a specific anti-codon) for a particular amino acid; and 'wobble' base-pairing, i.e. permitting non-standard base-pairing at the 3rd anti-codon position. Lineage: Bacteria; Pseudomonadati; Bacteroidota; Bacteroidia; Bacteroidales. The record is from RNAcentral.
GGAAAGAUGCCAGAGUGGUUGAUUGGGACGGUCUCGAAAACCGUUGUACUUGCAAAGGUAUCGGGGGUUCGAAUCCCCCUCUUUCCG